This 337-nucleotide unclassified non-coding RNA is filed under the name soil metagenome. RNAcentral's name for it is "partial contains 5.8S ribosomal RNA, internal transcribed spacer 2, and large subunit ribosomal RNA". The stretch from base 1 to 118 matches the Rfam family "5.8S ribosomal RNA", at positions 37 to 154 of the family's 154-position model. The record is from RNAcentral.
UGAAGAACGUAGCGAAAUGCGAUAACUAAUGUGAAUUGCAGAAUUCAGUGAAUCAUCGAGUCUUUGAACGCACAUUGCGCCCCCUGGUAUUCCGGGGGGCAUGCCUGUCCGAGCGUCAUUGCUGCCCUCAAGCACGGCUUGUGUGUUGGGCUCCGUCCCCCCGGGGACGGGCCCGAAAGGCAGCGGCGGCACCGAGUCCGGUCCUCGAGCGUAUGGGGCUUUGUCACCCGCUCUGUAGGCCCGGCCGGCGCCAGCCGACAACCCAUCAUCCUUUUCAGGUUGACCUCGGAUCAGGUAGGGAUACCCGCUGAACUUAAGCAUAUCAAUAAGCGGAGGA